ACUUUAUUUGAUUUCCUUCGGGAUUGAUUAUUUUGUGACUGAGUGGCGGACGGGUGAGUAACGCGUGGGUAACCUGCCUUGUACAGGGGGAUAACAGUUGGAAACGGCUGCUAAUACCGCAUAAGCGCACAGGACCGCAUGGUCCGGUGUGAAAAACUCCGGUGGUAUGGGAUGGACCCGCGUCUGAUUAGCCAGUUGGCAGGGUAACGGCCUACCAAAGCGACGAUCAGUAGCCGACCUGAGAGGUUGAACGGCCACAUUGGGACUGAGACACGGCCCAAACUCC
This 286-nucleotide ribosomal RNA is filed under the name uncultured Eubacteriales bacterium. RNAcentral describes it as "uncultured Clostridiales bacterium partial 16S ribosomal RNA". The stretch from base 48 to 286 matches the Rfam family "Bacterial small subunit ribosomal RNA", at positions 100 to 339 of the family's 1533-position model. Lineage: Bacteria; Bacillati; Bacillota; Clostridia; Eubacteriales. The record is from RNAcentral.